Molecule: RNA transcript, 750 nt
Organism: Monodelphis domestica (gray short-tailed opossum)
Lineage: Eukaryota; Metazoa; Chordata; Mammalia; Didelphimorphia; Didelphidae
Gene: CCDC167
Gene name: coiled-coil domain containing 167
Source: RefSeq, a predicted model, not a curated record
CGCAGUAGGGGCCGCAGGAGGCCCGACGGGCGAUGACUCUGGGGAGUGCUGCCGGGAAGAUGCCUAAAAAGAAGCGGGAGAAUCUGAGCGUGGCUCAGGAGAUAGAUGGGCUUGAAGAGAAGCUGACCCUGUGCCGGAGGAGCCUGGAGGAAGUGACCGGCCGCCUUCGUACUGAGGAGCUGAGCCCGGAAGCCAGGAGAGCGCUGGAGAAGGAAAAAAACAACCUGACGAGCAGAGCCUGCGGCUACGAAAGGGAGCUGAAGUCCCUCCGGAGAGAGAACUGUAAGAACACACUGCUGUCCAUGGCCAUCUUCUUGCUCCUUCUGCUCAUCUACGUCUACUGGACCAUGUAGCCCUGCUGGUUUCCAGCAUAAGCCACAGGAAGCCGCCAUGCUUUUGGAGACAGGGUCUCCCAGACAGAUCUUGGAUUGUGAUGUGCCACCGACUGGCCAGCUGUGUGAUUUAUAUAACUGAGCAAGGCAGGUCCUUCCACCUCGGCCUUGUCAGGAAGAGAAUCCAAUCUCGGCCUCCAUUCCACGUUUCCAAGGAGAAACAUGAGAGCUUAACCACCGCAGACUUCCCGAAAGGAACUCCGUUUUCCAGGGUGUCUGAGCCUCUGGAUUUGAAAGCGGCUUUUAGACAACCCCUUCUGCAACACCUCACAGCCCAGACGGUCUACAACCAAGUCAGCCAGUUGCCACACUACAAAGUGCCAACCAUCGGUACAAAAUAACACGGGUUUUAAAAAUA